CAGUACCACGGGAAUACGUAGGGUGCAAGCGUUAAUCGGAAUUACUGGGCGUAAAGCGUGCGCAGGCGGUUAUAUAAGACAGAUGUGAAAUCCCCGGGCUCAACCUGGGAACUGCAUUUGUGACUGUAUAGCUAGAGUACGGCAGAGGGGGAUGGAAUUCCGCGUGUAGCAGUGAAAUGCGUAGAUAUGCGGAGGAACACCGAUGGCGAAGGCAAUCCCCUGGGCCUGUACUGACGCUCAUGCACGAAAGCGUGGGGAGCAAACAGGAUUAGAUACCCCCGUAGUCCCUGUCUCUUAUACA
This 301-nucleotide ribosomal RNA is filed under the name uncultured bacterium. RNAcentral's name for it is "partial 16S ribosomal RNA". It matches the Rfam family "Bacterial small subunit ribosomal RNA", at positions 509 to 808 of the family's 1533-position model. The record is from RNAcentral.